RNAcentral lists this ribosomal RNA (233 nucleotides) under uncultured bacterium. RNAcentral's name for it is "partial 16S ribosomal RNA". It matches the Rfam family "Bacterial small subunit ribosomal RNA", at positions 96 to 334 of the family's 1533-position model. The record is from RNAcentral.
UGGCGGACGGGUGAGUAAUGUCUGGGAAACUGCCCGAUGGAGGGGGAUAACUACUGGAAACGGUAGCUAGUACCGCAUAACGUCGCAAGACCAAGAGGGGACCUUCGGGCCUCUUGCCAUCGGAUGUGCCCAGAUGGGAUUAGCUAGUAGGUGGGGUAACGGCUCACCUAGGCGACGAUCCCUAGCUGGUCUGAGAGGAUGACCAGCCACACUGGAACUGAGACACGGUCCAG